RNAcentral lists this ribosomal RNA (253 nucleotides) under uncultured bacterium. RNAcentral's name for it is "partial 16S ribosomal RNA". It matches the Rfam family "Bacterial small subunit ribosomal RNA", at positions 524 to 776 of the family's 1533-position model. The record is from RNAcentral.
GACGAACCGUGCGAACGUUGUUCGGAAUCACUGGGCUUAAAGGGCGCGUAGGCGGGUGUGCAAGUCUGUGGUGAAAGCCUCCAGCUUAACUGGAGAAGUGCCAUGGAUACUGCACAUCUUGAGGAGGGUAGGGGCAUCUGGAACGGUCGGUGGAGCGGUGAAAUGCGUAGAUAUAGGAAGGAACACCAGUGGCGAAGGCGACCACCUGGACUGAUACUGACACUGAGGUGCGAAAGCGUGGGGAGCAAACAGG